CAGUCGCCGCGGUAAUACGAAGGGGGCUAGCGUUGUUCGGAUUUACUGGGCGUAAAGCGUACGUAGGCGGACUUUUAAGUCAGGGGUGAAAUCCCGGGGCUCAACCCCGGAACUGCCUUUGAUACUAGGAGUCUUGAGUUCGAGAGAGGUGAGUGGAAUUGCGAGUGUAGAGGUGAAAUUCGUAGAUAUUCGGAGGAACACCAGUGGCGAAGGCAGCUCACUGGCUCGAUACUGACGCUGAGGUGCGAAAGCGUGGGGAGCAAACAGGAUUAGAUAUCCGGGUAGUCCCUGUCUCUUAUAA
Molecule: ribosomal RNA, 301 nt
Filed under: uncultured bacterium
Lineage: Bacteria
Description: partial 16S ribosomal RNA
Rfam family: Bacterial small subunit ribosomal RNA
Source: RNAcentral